UGCCAGUGAUAAACUGGAGGAAGGUGGGGAUGACGUCAAGUCAUCAUGGCCCUUACGAGUAGGGCUACACACGUGCUACAAUGGCGCAUACAAAGAGAAGCGACCUCGCGAGAGCAAGCGGACCUCAUAAAGUGCGUCGUAGUCCGGAUUGGAGUCUGCAACUCGACUCCAUGAAGUCGGAAUCGCUAGUAAUCGUGGAUCAGAAUGCCACGGUGAAUACGUUCCCGGGCCUUGUACACACCGCCCGUCACACCAUGGGAGUGGGUUGCAAAAGAAGUAGGUAGCUUAACCUUCGGGAGGGCGCUUACCACUUUGUGAUUCAUGACUGGGGUGAAGUCGUAACAAGGUAACCGUAGGGGAACCUGC
Molecule: ribosomal RNA, 366 nt
Filed under: Enterobacter hormaechei
Lineage: Bacteria; Pseudomonadati; Pseudomonadota; Gammaproteobacteria; Enterobacterales; Enterobacteriaceae
Description: bacterial SSU rRNA
Rfam family: Bacterial small subunit ribosomal RNA
Source: RNAcentral